Non-coding RNA from Pelobates cultripes (western spadefoot toad), 478 nucleotides. Lineage: Eukaryota; Metazoa; Chordata; Amphibia; Anura; Pelobatidae. The record is from the annotation of a GenBank genome assembly.
AAGAGAGCCAGACAAGAUCCCCUACUUUGUAAGGAGGGGGAAUUCUUCUUUUAUUGUCAAAAAACUUUUUCUGGUAGUUUUGAGCGAGUUGAAGAUUCUCCCGUAAUUUGAGGAAUAGAGAGGACAUAAAUUCAUUUUUUGAUGUAACCGUAGGAUUGGAUGAAGUAAUAGUUUGGAUGGGAAAUGAGGACGGAUGAAAACCAUAGUUGGAGAAGAAAGGAGUCAUUUUCGUACUAGAAUGAAUGGUAUUGUUGUAAGAAAAUUCAGCCAUAGGUAACCAUGUGGUCCAGUCAUCUUGCAGGUAUGAACAAUAACAUCGGAGAUAUUGUUCCAAACAUUGAUUAACUCUCUCUGUUUUCCCAUUAGUUUGGGGAUGAUAGGCGGAAGAGAGUUUGCGUUGAAUUUGAAGAGAGAGACACAUCUCCUUCCAGAAUUUGGAGGUAAAUUGUGUCCCCCUAUCAGAAAUAAUUUCUUCUGG